RNAcentral lists this ribosomal RNA (301 nucleotides) under uncultured bacterium. Its description in RNAcentral is "bacterial SSU rRNA". It matches the Rfam family "Bacterial small subunit ribosomal RNA", at positions 28 to 317 of the family's 1533-position model. The record is from RNAcentral.
GAUGAACGCUAGCGGCAGGCUUAAUACAUGCAAGUCGAGGGGCAACAGGGGUAGCAAUACCUGCUGGCGACCGGCAAACGGGUGCGGAACACGUACAGAACCUUCCUUUAAGCGGGGGAGUAGCCCGGGACGGAAAUACCGGACUUAAAUUACCCCACUAGUAAUAUUGACUGGCAUCAGUUGGUAUUUAAAGAUUUAUCACUUAAAGAUGGCUGUGCGGCUGAUUAGGUAGUUGGUGAGGGAACGGCCCACCAAGCCAGCGAUCAGUAACUGGUGUGAGAGCACGACCAGUCACACGGGC